AUUGAACGCUGGCGGCGUGCUUUACACAUGCAAGUCGGGCGGCAGCAUGGGGGCAACCCUGAUGGCGAGCGGCGAACGGGUGAGUAAUAUAUCGAGACGUACCUAAUAGAGGGGGAUAACUCAUCGAAAGAUGAGCUAAUACCGCAUAAUCUCUGAGGAGGAAAGGUGGGGACCAGCAAUGGCCUGCCGUUGUUAGAGCGAUCGAUACCCGAUUAGCUAGUUGGUGAGGUAAAGGCUCACCAAGGCGAUGAUCGGUAGCUGUUCUGAGAGGAAGAUCAGCCACACUGGGACUGAGACACGGCCCAGACUCCUACGGGAGGCAGCAGUGGGGAAUUUUGGACAAUGGGGGCAACCCUGAUCCAGCAACGCCGCGUGAAUGAAGAAGGCCUUAGGGUUGUAAAGUUCUUUUGUCCGAGAGCAAAUCGUAUAUGUUAAUAGCGUGUAUGGAUGAGAGUAUCGGAAGAAUAAGCACCGGCUAACUACGUGCC
RNAcentral lists this ribosomal RNA (488 nucleotides) under uncultured beta proteobacterium. RNAcentral describes it as "bacterial SSU rRNA". It matches the Rfam family "Bacterial small subunit ribosomal RNA", at positions 30 to 509 of the family's 1533-position model. Lineage: Bacteria; Pseudomonadati; Pseudomonadota; Betaproteobacteria. The record is from RNAcentral.